AAUUCGCCCUUGAGCACGUAGGUGGGUUUGUAAGUCAGACGUGAAAGCCUUCUGUUCAACGGAAGAAUUGCAUCUGAAACUACAAGUCUUGAGUGUAGGAGGGGAGAAUGGAACUUCUGGUGGAGCAGUGAAAUCCGUAGAUAUCAGAAGGAACGCCGGCGGCGAAAGCGAUUCUCUGGCCUAUUACUGACACUCAGUGUGCGAAAGCUAGGGGAGCAAACGGGAUUAGAUACCCCGGUAGUCCUAGCCGUAAACGAUGGGCACUAAGUAGAGGGGAUUACCGACGUUCUCUCUGCCGUAGCUAACGCAUUAAGUGCCCCGCCUGGGGAGUACGGCCGCAAGGCUAAAACUCAAAAGAAUUGACGGGGGCUCGCACAGGCGGUGGAGCAUGUGGCUUAAUUCGAUGCAACGCGAAGAACCUUACCGGGGCUUGACAUGGUAGAAGUAGGAACCCGAAAGGGUAACGAACGGUAUCCAGUCCGUGACUAUCACAGGCGUUGCAUGGCUGUCGUCAGCUCGUGUCGUGAGACGUUGGGUUAAGUCCCCUAACAAGCGAAACCCUUGUUUUUAGUUACCAGCGGGUUGUGCCGGGUACUCUAGAAAGACUGCCGUCGUCAAGACGGGGGAAGGUGGGGAUGACGUCAAGUCAUCGUGGCCCUUAUGCCCCGGGCUGCACACGCGCUACAAUGGUCGGUACAAACGGAAGCGAAGCCGAGAGGUGAAGCGAAUCCAAGGGCGAAUU
This 742-nucleotide ribosomal RNA is filed under the name uncultured Planctomycetota bacterium. RNAcentral describes it as "bacterial SSU rRNA". It matches the Rfam family "Bacterial small subunit ribosomal RNA", at positions 552 to 1288 of the family's 1533-position model. Lineage: Bacteria; Pseudomonadati; Planctomycetota. The record is from RNAcentral.